Molecule: ribosomal RNA, 555 nt
Filed under: uncultured Alphaproteobacteria bacterium
Lineage: Bacteria; Pseudomonadati; Pseudomonadota; Alphaproteobacteria
Description: bacterial SSU rRNA
Rfam family: Bacterial small subunit ribosomal RNA
Source: RNAcentral
UACGGGAGGCAGCAGUGGGGAAUCUUGGACAAUGGGGGCAACCCUGAUCCAGCCAUGCCGCGUGAGUGAUGAAGGCCUUAGGGUCGUAAAGCUCUUUCGCCUGUGAAGAUAAUGACGGUAGCAGGUAAAGAAACCCCGGCUAACUCCGUGCCAGCAGCCGCGGUAAUACGGAGGGGGUUAGCGUUGUUCGGAAUUACUGGGCGUAAAGCGCACGUAGGCGGACUGGAAAGUUGGGGGUGAAAUCCCAGGGCUCAACCCUGGAACUGCCUCCAAAACUAUCAGUCUAGAGUUCGAGAGAGGUGAGUGGAAUUCCGAGUGUAGAGGUGAAAUUCGUAGAUAUUCGGAGGAACACCAGUGGCGAAGGCGGCUCACUGGCUCGAUACUGACGCUGAGGUGCGAAAGUGUGGGGAGCAAACAGGAUUAGAUACCCUGGUAGUCCACACCGUAAACGAUGAAUGCCAGUCGUCGGGUAGCAUGCUAUUCGGUGACACACCUAACGGAUUAAGCAUUCCGCCUGGGGAGUACGGUCGCAAGAUUAAAACUCAAAUGAAUUGA